Non-coding RNA from Dipodomys ordii (Ord's kangaroo rat), 65 nucleotides. The record is from Rfam. Lineage: Eukaryota; Metazoa; Chordata; Mammalia; Rodentia; Heteromyidae.
GGUGGCUCAGUGGUAGUGUGCUUGCCUUGAAUGCAUGAAGCCCUGGGUUCGAUUCCUCAGCACCA